UUUUAUUUGGCUUUACACAUAUGAAUUCAUGGUGUUUAUGUAUUGUUAUAGGUUACGGAUGCAACAUCGUUAAACAAUUCCAGGACAAUUAAAUUGUUGAUUCAAUCGAACAUAUGGUAUGAACAUGGUUUGUUUCACGGGGUGUUUCGGUGUCUUGCCUUGAAUCAAGGCGUGUAAAAACGUAAAGCUUGCUUUUAUCUAUCUUUUUUUAUUGUCACGUCUUUAUCCAUCUAUGUAACGCUUAAUCAUCAAUUAUUAUAUUAAACUUCAAUAAAGGCUGGUGUACCAAAUUCAUGGUUUGUUUUAUCUGAUUAGUGUACCAAAUUCAAUUGGAACUAUAUCAGAUCCAUGAAAUUAUUGAUUAUUGAUACAUGCAGGUUAUGUGUGAUCCUUAUACACCAGCUGGUGUUCCAAUUUCAACCAACAAGAGGCACAACGCUGCUAAAAUUUUCAGACACCAAUCGUUGCCUCCGAGGAGCCUUGGUAUGCUCAUCUUCUUGUUUUUUGGCUAUACAUAUUAUUUUCGUUACUAUAAAUUCUAAUAGUGUUUGUUUUUUUAAACGAUUGUAUGUUUUGGAUGAAUGAAAGCAACCACGAUGCAUGAAGAAGAUUCAGGUGAUGUUUCAAUUGAUCUUUUAUCUUUAAUUUAUCGAUUUUCUAAUUUUACAAAAAUGUUCUCACCAAGUAGAAUAUACUUUUGAGUUUUGAGUUAAAUCUUUCACAGUCUGUUGUGGAUUAGCAACGUUUCAAGCCAUAUUAACUAUUGUGUUGUGGCAGUUCGAAAGAUUCAUAUAAAUUGGACUAUUGCUACAAAAAAAAAACAGAAUCACAGGUUUAAUUCUAUCAAAGGAGAUAAAGCCUCUUAUCUCUACUGUCUUUGAGGGUAAAGAUGCUAAUGUCGUCGCCCACGGAGCAAGAAAUUGCGGAAAAACAUAUCUCAUACAUGUAUUGAAAGCAAUCCCAUUAAGGUAUUGAUUAUCAGACAUGAUACUAUAGAUGAAAAAUGCUAAUUAUUGUAUCGCAUGGUUUGUAGGGAAAUGAUUAUGCUCUGACGCUCAAAGGAAACAGACACCUUUGACUGUGUCUGCUACUUCUAGAAAACAGACAAUGCUAAGGGGAAAUGUGACAGAGAGAAAAGACUAAAAUCAAAGCAAGGUAAAUCUUUCAGAAACAACUUUGUAUCAACUCUAAGCCUCAAUAUCCAUGAUAUACCUGCAUCUGCUCUGUUGUUCAGUUUUAGAACAUCAAAUAAUGAUGAUUUUUUUUCUCAAUGUUUGAAGGAAACUGUUCCGCGAAGCAAACGAUUCAGUGAAAUGUAAAAAUAGCAUGUUGGAAAAUUUAAUUAAUACGUCAUGAAGUGGAAUAAUCUAGAUUCUUCCUUUACAAAGAGGUAAAACAGAGGGUAUAGAAACAGAGACUAAGAGACCAAGAGUCUUAAUUAAGGAGGUUUGGUAUACCACUUAACCCUAAUCAAUCCACUACUUACUUGAUAAAGACAUAUUCUCAUCAUGUAUAUUUGAUUAGAUUAGCUAGGCUCGUAAUAUGGGACAAAACCCCGAAGAUGAGCAAGAAAUGCUUUGAAAGAUUUUAUCGUAGCAUGAGUGUCAUAUCUACACCCUUCAGUGCUCCCUUGUAAAAUCAAAGUAUCUGAGUAUAGAUACUUAAUAGGUUUAAGUGUUCUUCGAUCUUGGACGAUAUGUUCCAACUUAUACUGAUACAGAGGUUAUACAGAUUUUUGGUUUUUCUAAUAAAAUAAAUUGUUUGCUGAAA
This is a long non-coding RNA of Arabidopsis lyrata subsp. lyrata, 1770 nucleotides long. RefSeq lists it as uncharacterized. The transcript is spliced from 2 exons. NCBI's taxonomy places the organism in Eukaryota, Viridiplantae, Streptophyta, Magnoliopsida, Brassicales, Brassicaceae. The record is from RefSeq and is a predicted model, not a curated record.